UGAGGCUUUGGCUGACGACAGCUUUCAGCUGCACCUGAACUAGGCUGGAUUUGUCUCCUGCUCUCCAUAGGCAGAGAAGUGCGUCCAGGCAGUUUGGAGAACUGCUGGCUCAGGCUUCACCUCCACUAAUCCAAGUUCAGUCACUUUCCUCUGAAGAACCUGCAUCAAGCCGUGGUUUUAAGCUGCAGAUGGAGUUCUUCUCGCAGGACUGAAGUGCUGAAGCUCUCUGAGCUCCGAAGGCACCCUGAACUCAUGAGGCUUUUUCUUGGUUGGCAACGUGCUUAAAAAAGAAAGAAAUGCAAAUGGGCAUUUCCACGUGACUGUAUUCUGCUCAGUGCAGUGUCUGCCUGUGUUGCAGACUGAGCUCCGUGGCAUUGCAAAGAAUGCACCAAAGGUUCCCGUAUUUCUAGCGGUUGUCAGGGCGGUGGCUCAUGACAUCGUAAGGCCGUGGCGAUGUGACGUCAAGAUGUGGCCGUUGUAUGAAGUAAGUUUGUGGUUGCUGUGAAGCUGGGAGGAAUGUUGACUGCCUUGGGGGUUGAGAGGCCUUGCAGCAAGAUGUGGAGAAAUGUGAGGGUGGUCCCCAUCUGCACGAAGAAGAGCAAGCGCUGCGUUCUGCACCUGGGAUGCGGCAGCCCUGGCUAUAAGCCCUCAGCAAACAGUCGUCCUGUUCCACUUUUGGCCAGUCUCAGAUGCUUGUCUUCCAGAAUGUCUGCGUGUGGAUGAAUCACAACAGGAUCCUGGGAACUUUUAAGAAAGGUAGGAAGGAGGAACCGGGGAACUACAGGCUGGUGAGCCUCACCUCUGUGCCUGGGAAGAUCAUGG
Molecule: long non-coding RNA, 822 nt
Filed under: Gallus gallus (chicken)
Lineage: Eukaryota; Metazoa; Chordata; Aves; Galliformes; Phasianidae
Description: lncRNA (ENSGALG00010028974.1)
Source: RNAcentral